Molecule: ribosomal RNA, 292 nt
Filed under: uncultured bacterium
Lineage: Bacteria
Description: partial 16S ribosomal RNA
Rfam family: Bacterial small subunit ribosomal RNA
Source: RNAcentral
AUUGAACGCUGGCGGCGUGCCUAACACAUGCAAGUCGAGCGGCAGCGGGCCCGCAAGGGUGCCGGCGAGCGGCGGACGGGUGAGCAAUACAUAGGAAUCUGCCUUAGAGCGGGGAUAGCCAGGGGAAACCCUGAUUAAUACCGCAUGAUGUCGAGAGACCGAAAGUGGGGGAUCGUAAGACCUCACACUCUAAGAUGAGCCUAUGUCGGAUUAGCAGUUGGCGGGGUAACGGCCCACCAAGGCGACGAUCCGUAGCUGGUCUGAGAGGACGAUCAGCCACACCGGAACUGAG